CCUACGGGAGGCAGCAGUGGGGAAUAUUGGACAAUGGGCGAAAGCCUGAUCCAGCCAUGCCGCGUGUGUGAAGAAGGCCUUCGGGUUGUAAAGCACUUUCAGUGGGGAAGAAAGCCUUGGGGCUAAUACCCUCGAGGAAGGACAUCACCCACAGAAGAAGCACCGGCUAACUCCGUGCCAGCAGCCGCGGUAAUACGGAGGUGCGAGCGUUAAUCGGAAUUACUGGGCGUAAAGCGCGCGUAGGCGGUCUGAUAAGCCGGUUGUGAAAGCCCCGGGCUCAACCUGGGAACGGCAUCCGGACCUGUCAGGCUAGAGUGCAGGAGAGGAAGGUAGAAUUCCCGGUGUAGCGGUGAAAUGCGUAGAGAUCGGGAGGAAUACCAGUGGCGAAGGCGGCCUUCUGGACUGACACUGACGCUGAGGUGCGAAAGCGUGGGUAGCAAACAGGAUUAGAUACCCGAGUAGUC
This 464-nucleotide ribosomal RNA is filed under the name Vreelandella stevensii. Its description in RNAcentral is "partial 16S ribosomal RNA". It matches the Rfam family "Bacterial small subunit ribosomal RNA", at positions 338 to 795 of the family's 1533-position model. Lineage: Bacteria; Pseudomonadati; Pseudomonadota; Gammaproteobacteria; Oceanospirillales; Halomonadaceae. The record is from RNAcentral.